RNAcentral lists this ribosomal RNA (285 nucleotides) under uncultured Tepidiphilus sp. RNAcentral's name for it is "partial 16S ribosomal RNA". It matches the Rfam family "Bacterial small subunit ribosomal RNA", at positions 1089 to 1382 of the family's 1533-position model. Lineage: Bacteria; Pseudomonadati; Pseudomonadota; Hydrogenophilia; Hydrogenophilales; Hydrogenophilaceae. The record is from RNAcentral.
GCAACGAGCGCAACCCUUGCCAUUAGUUGCUACGAAAGGGCACUCUAAUGGGACUGCCGGUGACAAACCGGAGGAAGUGGGGAUGACGUCAAGUCCUCAUGGCCCUUAUAGGUGGGGCUACACACGUCAUACAAUGGCCGGUACAGAGGGUAGCCAACCCGCAGGGGGAGCCAAUCCCACAAAGCCGGUCGUAGUCCGAAUCGCAGUCUGCAACUCGACUGCGUGAAGUCGGAAUCGCUAGUAAUCGCAGGUCAGCAUACUGCGGUGAAUACGUUCCCGGGCCUU